This 459-nucleotide ribosomal RNA is filed under the name uncultured bacterium. Its description in RNAcentral is "bacterial SSU rRNA". It matches the Rfam family "Bacterial small subunit ribosomal RNA", at positions 1 to 468 of the family's 1533-position model. The record is from RNAcentral.
CGUAGAGUUUGAUCCUGGCUCAGGAUGAACGCUAGCGGGAGGCCUAACACAUGCAAGCCGAGCGGUAGAUGUCCUUCGGGACAUUGAGAGCGGCGCACGGGUGCGUAACACGUGUGCAACCUACCUUUAUCAGGGGGAUAGCCCGAAGAAAUUCGGAUUAAUACUCCAUAAUAUGAGUCAAGGCAUCUUGAUUUAUUGAAAACUCCGGUGGAUAAAGAUGGGCACGCGCAAGAUUAGAUAGUUGGUGAGGUAACGGCUCACCAAGUCUACGAUCUUUAGGGGGCCUGAGAGGGUGAUCCCCCACACUGGUACUGAGACACGGACCAGACUCCUACGGGAGGCAGCAGUGAGGAAUAUUGGACAAUGGGUGAGAGCCUGAUCCAGCCAUCCCGCGUGAAGGACGACGGUUCUAUGGAUUGUAAACUUCUUUUAUAUAGGGAUAAACCUACUUACGUGUAA